Molecule: unclassified non-coding RNA, 3154 nt
Filed under: Hevea brasiliensis (rubber tree)
Lineage: Eukaryota; Viridiplantae; Streptophyta; Magnoliopsida; Malpighiales; Euphorbiaceae
Source: RNAcentral
GCCUGCAAGUUUCCCUUGGACAAUCAAAAACCAUUUUAACUUCGUUGCACUUUGGACAGAUAUCCACGUCAAUUAUCCGACCAUUUUCGGUACUUGAUGAUGGAGAACUUCUAUAGUGAUGAUAUAGGAUAGGUGGUAGCUUUUGGUGUGGUGGAUUCAUUUGAAGAUAGGAGGAAAGUGUUUCGAUAUGUUCUUUCUUUAUGUUGUAGAUACCAUUUAUCCGCAAGCUCUUUAAGUUUGUUGGAUGUUGGGAUAGUGUCUUCACAGCUCCGAUGAUUCCCUCAGGGGUUAAGCCAGUGCAUGCUGGUAGGUGGAGCUGAAUCAAUAGAAAAGAAAAUAUUACGAAGGAUUUCGUUAAUGGUCGUAUAUGCAUCCAAAAGGAGUUCGUCAACUUUCAUGUUUUAUCUGUACCAAGCUACUUCCUUCUUGUAAUCUGCAUUAUAUUUAAAAGAAAUAGCUCUCUAUUGGAGGGAGAAAGAAAAAAAAGAGUAUAGUUUGAUUAAUCAUUUGUUUUCAAUGAGCAUGUCGUCAGAAGUAUUGUCCAUCCAGAAUUCUUGAACCAUCCACUAGGUUCAAUAAUGAAUAAGAGAAUUCCAUAUCCCAUUUUCAUUAAAGAAAGAACCCUUACUAACCAUAUCUUAUCCUGUUCCACCUCAACCUUAUUUAUUGAUUCUUAGAAAACUGUGCCAACCACCGAUUAACUACUCAUCCAACGAACUGGGCCAGCUAAAUUUAAGGUAAUAGAACGAGCGCAAAAAGAAAUAUCAAUUUAGAUUCCAUCAGCAUACCUUACUGAUAAAAGGAUUUUUCUCUACGACCCUUUGAAGCCCAUCAUCAGUUAUAUUUUGACAGCUCCUGAGAACCAAAGUCCUCAAUCUACAAUUCGCCUUUGAAGUGAUUUCCCACAGAAUCUCAUUAGACAACCGCGUGCUCAAAGGCCUGUCAAUCAUGAUAUCCAACCAUGGCAAUACAUCUUUGUUCACUGCAUCCCUAAACGACAAGCAAACUUUACUCAUGUUAAGAAGCUCAAAUACAGGAAGGCAAGCCAAGACGAAAAACAAAGCCUCGUGGGGUGGCCCUGGCUCGGCUUCUGGGUUUGGCUUUUCCUUUCUGGAACUGGGACAGGAAUCAAGAGAAGGCGAGAUUGAAAGGGUCUGCAUGGACUCGACAAAGGAUUCAUCCUCUUUGUAUUCUUCAAAAUGAGAAAUCUCCAUAUCCUCAAGCUACAAAAAUGGUAAUGGAAUCCCUAUAUGAUCAUGACUUGACAGAAUUUUCUGGGUGACGUGCAGAAAGAAAAAAAAUGAAGAUUCAGCAAAAGGGAAGUAACGAUAGAGAAGAUUGUAGGAGGUUACACGUAUGGUCCAACAUGAGCCACAUGGCACAUAGUAUUGCAAAUUGCAAGUGGGUUCGAGGAUAAGAGUCAAAGCCUUCACAUUUUCUUGCUUGCAAAGCAAAUGAAUACACGAAAAUCCUUUAUUGUCUUGGUCCAGGCUUAUGCGACUUCUAGAGCAGAGGAGCUCUAACAUUUUAACAUUAGCUAAAAGCCGUUAGUGUUCAUGAUCAAAAUUAGGAAUCAACUGGUUAAAGUUAUUGGACAUAUAAAUCUACAGCUGCAGCUGUGGCAAUGACGAUAUCCAGGCAGCAACAAUGAAGCUAUUCCUUCUUGCCAGGCAACGCUAAUUUACUAAUUCAUAAAAAAGUCCAAUACACUUGAACCCGUAACAAAUAUAUUACAUCAAAACUUCAUUUUCAGGUGCAUAAGCUAUGCGUAAUGGAUGGGACGUAAUGCUACAACUGAUCAGGGAGGAAAAAGCAUUGUUUAAUGCUAGUAAAAUAUGGAGAGUUAUAUGGCAGAAACGAUGAACAAAUUUUGAAUAUUACACUCUGCAAUUUGAAAUACAAAAAGAAGAUGAAAAAUUAUGAUAUCAAGAAAAACAUACAAGAGCGUGGCACUCAAAUUUGCAAAUCAUCAAUGGUCUAAAGGCUCAACAGCAGUCUUAAAGAGUAAGAUGUACACCUUGUCAAUUGAAAAAUACAAGAAGCCUCCUAUGGAAUGAGUAACAUAUGAACCAAAGCUAGUUCCCACUAUGCAAUGCCAAGCUGGACCAUAUGCAGAGUCAAACUCCAGUAAUUCGUUUUUCUAAGCAAGCUGAUAGUUGGUAAUCCUGGCAACUCCUGAUUCCACAGGCGACGGACUUUAAACCACCCCAUAUAUCUUUUAUUUAUUGUUGAAAACCUCCAUCGCUUCAAAUUUAUAACUGACUUUUAUUGUGUAUGACAAUCUGCAGUGUAAAACCUAAACUUCAUUAAAUAUAAAAUAAAUUACAUUUCACCCUCAAAUAGAAUUAAAUAUAUAAUUUCAACACAAAUUAAUGCAAGCAAAUAGGUGGAUAACCAUUAAUCAAGCUCGUAUAGUGCCAUUCACUCCAAACAAAAAUAUUUAGCAAUUUAGAGGAACUAUUUCUGGAACUUGCAAUCAUCCAAAAACAUAAGCUCGCAAUCAAUAUCAGUUAAUUUGACUCAACAAUUGUAAAACAUUAGUAUUUAGAGUCUAACUUUCCGAGUAAUCUUAGACAAGAAAAGGGGCAAAGAACACAUGUGAAAGCUAAUUCACUGUCCACACCCGUGAUCAAUUGGUCCAUUCCAAUUUCAAACUCAAAAUAAGCAAUUGAAAUUUACUGAAAAAGUUAAGAAGAAAUACAAUUAAUAAGACUAUAAAGUAUUUGAAAUCACCGUGUACUCACAAAAUUCAUAACCAAUAAUAUUCAACCCCAUGAUGGAAAAGGAAAAAAUUUGAUACUGACACAAUUGGACCACCUUUAGACAUUCAAAAGAAUGAAGAAAGCUCCACUGUAAGCAUUCAAAAUUUAUUAAUUAAUAUAGCAACCACAAAUCAUUCACCGCGAUAUGAAGAUAACUGCCCAGAAGCAUAGAAGGAGAUCAAGUUUUCCAAUAAACAAUCCCCACAAACCAAUUUUUAAAGCAUUUUCAUUUCAAGGCCUAUAUUUCAGCAGGAUCGCUUGCUAGCAAAAUUUACCAGACACCUUUUUUUUAGGCUCGCACAGACAGAUAAAGAUCAAAACAAGGAAAAUGAAGGAGACACACGGAGAGGAAAGGGAUAAAAGGAAAAAGAAUUAUCUUUUUUAAAAAGAGU